UUAGUUGAAGUCAAAGGACGAGUUGUUGUUAACGAUUUAUUUAGAAAUUAAAGAUUUUCUCGGCUAAG
RNAcentral lists this transfer RNA (68 nucleotides) under Hutchinsoniella macracantha. RNAcentral describes it as "tRNA-Asn". Lineage: Eukaryota; Metazoa; Arthropoda; Cephalocarida; Brachypoda; Hutchinsoniellidae. The record is from RNAcentral.